UAAGGCCUAUUGGGGACUAACCAAUAUCUCCUGAAUGCAACUCACACACUUUAAUUAAGCUAAGACCUUC
RNAcentral lists this transfer RNA (70 nucleotides) under Anolis marsupialis. RNAcentral describes it as "tRNA-Ala". The record is from RNAcentral. Lineage: Eukaryota; Metazoa; Chordata; Lepidosauria; Squamata; Anolidae.